Molecule: ribosomal RNA, 444 nt
Filed under: uncultured bacterium
Lineage: Bacteria
Description: partial 16S ribosomal RNA
Rfam family: Bacterial small subunit ribosomal RNA
Source: RNAcentral
GUAGGGAAUAUUGGGCAAUGGUCGGAAGACUGACCCAGCCAUGCCGCGUGCAGGAAGACGGCCCUCUGGGUUGUAAACUGCUUUUAUCUGGGAAGAAAAAGGCCAUGCGUGGCAAAUUGCCGGUACCAGAUGAAUAAGCACCGGCUAACUCCGUGCCAGCAGCCGCGGUAAUACGGAGGGUGCGAGCGUUGUCCGGAUUUAUUGUGUUUAAAGGGUGCGUAGGCGGCUGAUUAAGUCAGCGGUGAAAGACUUCGGCUUAACCGGAGCAGUGCCGUUGAUACUGGUUGGCUUGAGUGUCGGAGGGGUACAUGGAAUUGAUGGUGUAGCGGUGAAAUGCAUAGAUACCAUCAGGAACACCGAUAGCGAAGGCAUUGUACUGGCCGACAACUGACGCUGAUGCACGAAAGUGUGGGGAUCGAACAGGAUUAGAUACCCGAGUAGUCC